RNAcentral lists this transfer RNA (70 nucleotides) under Loxodonta africana (African savanna elephant). It matches the Rfam family "tRNA". From Rfam's summary of the family: Transfer RNA (tRNA) molecules are approximately 80 nucleotides in length. Their secondary structure includes four short double-helical elements and three loops (D, anti-codon, and T loops). The record is from Rfam by way of RNAcentral. Lineage: Eukaryota; Metazoa; Chordata; Mammalia; Proboscidea; Elephantidae.
GCAGUGGUGGUUCAGUGGUAAAAUUCUCGCCUUCCAUGCAGAAGACUGGGUUCAAUCCCUGACCAAUGCA